AAUCCGGGGGGAUUAGGGGAGCCCGAGCUGGGGGAGUGGCCCUGUCCCCUUCCACGCCCCUCUUGGAGGUCCUAUGACGGAGACCUCCAUCUCCCGGCCGGGGUGGCUGGGGCCUGGGCGCUGUUCUCCGGCCCUUCCCGGGAAGGGGAGGGGGUUCCCGCCAGUUUCCUGCCUCCCCCCGCGCCACGCCGGGGCGGCGCCGGGAAGCCACUCCUUCUAGGAGCGCAGAGCCUUGGCCCUCCCUGGGAGUCUGGUCGGCGGGCUGUGGGGUCCCAAAAUCGUGACCCCGGCCCCUCUCCCCUCCUCCCCCACCAUGUCCCAUGUCAGGAUCAGUUCGAGGUGCUCGAGCGCCACACGCAGUGGGGGCUGGACCUGUUGGACAGAUAUGUAAAGUUCGUGAAAGAACGCACCGAAGUGGAACAGGCUUACGCCAAACAACUGCGGAGCCUGGUGAAAAAAUAUCUGCCCAAGAGACCUGCCAAGGAUGAUCCUGAGUCCAAAUUCAGCCAGCAACAGUCCUUCGUACAGAUUCUCCAGGAGGUGAAUGACUUUGCAGGCCAGCGGGAGCUGGUGGCUGAGAACCUCAGUGUCCGUGUAUGUCUUGAGCUGACCAAGUACUCACAAGAGAUGAAACAGGAGAGGAAGAUGGUGAGGAGCCCCCCGAUUCAGGUUUUACAAAGGGCUUCUGCUGGAACCCUGGCGAGCCUUAUCACUCUUCUUUCUGUAGCACUUCCAAGAAGGGCGGCGGGCCCAGCAGCAGCUGGAAAAUGGCUUUAAACAGCUGGAGAAUAGUAAGCGUAAAUUUGAGCGGGACUGCCGGGAGGCAGAGAAGGCAGCCCAGACUGCUGAACGGCUAGACCAGGAUAUCAACGCCACCAAGGCUGAUGUGGAGAAGGCCAAGCAGCAAGCCCACCUUCGGAGUCAUAUGGCCGAAGAAAGCAAAAACGAAUAUGCAGCUCAACUCCAGCGCUUCAACCGAGACCAAGCCCACUUCUAUUUUUCACAGAUGCCCCAGAUAUUCGAUAAGCUCCAAGACAUGGAUGAACGCAGGGCCACCCGCCUGGGUGCCGGGUAUGGGCUCCUGUCGGAGGCCGAGCUGGAGGUGGUGCCCAUCAUAGCCAAGUGCUUGGAGGGCAUGAAGGUGGCUGCAAAUGCUGUGGAUCCCAAGAACGACUCCCACGUCCUUAUAGAGCUGCACAAGUCAGGUUUUGCCCGCCCGGGCGACGUGGAAUUCGAGGACUUCAGCCAGCCCAUGAACCGUGCACCCUCCGACAGCAGUCUGGGCACCCCCUCGGAUGGACGGCCUGAACUCCGAGGCCCGGGCCGCAGCCGCACCAAGCGCUGGCCUUUUGGCAAGAAGAACAAGGUGGGGGCCGGGACCCUUGGGAUGGUGGGGGAGAAGGACAGUGAAGUGGGGACAGUGGGGCCCCUAUUGAGUCAGCCCCAGCCGCCUGAACGCUGAGUCCCGGGCAGGAAUUUUCCUCUUGGCUGCCAGCCCGGACUGGAGGGAAGGAAGGCGGGCGGGCCGAUUGGCCUGGGAGUCCCCCGAGGCGAAGGCGGGGGCAGGGUGGGGAGGU
This 1577-nucleotide small RNA is filed under the name Pan troglodytes (chimpanzee). RNAcentral's name for it is "retained intron". The record is from RNAcentral. Lineage: Eukaryota; Metazoa; Chordata; Mammalia; Primates; Hominidae.